UUCAAUAAACAAUUCACGUUAAAAAUGCUGUGCAAAUGUUAUAAACACAACAGACACCCUUUAGAUUAAAAACUGCACAAUAGAAACAACUGGAGUCAUAAAAAAAAAUUGUCAUUACACGUAAAAGGAAGUUAUUACAUAGUUAAGGCAAGACUAUAAAAAAUAUAGAGCUGUUUGAAAGACUCAAUUCUGACUUUUAAAGGGGGCGAGGAUUUAGUUUGGACUUGCUAGCUGUUAACACACAACACAUAACUUUACACUUUUCAUUUCUCCGGAACUUACAACAAACAAAAGUUACCUAUGCCAACAGGUUUAAUUUGUAGGUCAUGCUUCAUUCAACAAUGAAAUAUCUGUGUUGUAGAUUUUUUUUUUUUUUUUUUCAGGCACUUGUAUUGGUGCAUUUAUGAAUUCAUCGGGAUCAACUUGAUAUGAUUGUCAUCAGUCAUUGUUUAAAUAAAGUCAAAUGUUCUAGAACAGGACAAAAAAUAAAAAUAAACAAAAGUUUCACAUUUCAUACAGGAGAUUACAUUUCAUAGUUAAGAGUUAGCAAAAUGGCUGUCCAACCACCUCUGUACCAGUUAUUUAAUCUCAGGCCCUCAGCAGCUCAAACCAGCAUGGAUGCUUUUGUGUCAGAGUUGUGGUGUAGACUUUUCCCUGGACAGUACUUUGGACAAAACCACAGGCUGGAUCAAAUGUUUGCCAGGAAGUCCCACUGGCCAGAACUGGCAACCCUGCAGCUCUGUCCCUACUAUUUUGACCAGGUCACUUACAGCCUUCCAACCAGAGGCCAAGUGAAACACAUGGAGAACUGCAACCUCAGGCUGCACUGGUUCAACUCAUGGGCAGACUUAAAACAAGAAAGGCAGAGGGCCACUGGUCAGUAUGGAAGAUGGCAUUUAAGGACUAACCGAGAAGUCCGGCCCAGCACUGGCACCCACCUGAGUCGACUCUGUCAACUCCAAGAUCCAAACAGUGGCAGGAGUAUAUCCACAAAAGAGUAUACUUACCUGAUGUAUGGCUACCACUUCUAACUGCCAACAACCUCAAGUUUUUGUCUCAUAGUUGUUACUAAAUCUGUUUUAUUACAGAUAUGAAAGUUGAGCAUGUGUCUGAUGUUGAGGUCUGAGGUGUAGACAUGGUUCAUUUUUGACAAAUGAUUUUCAUGUUAAUACCAAUUUUAUUCACAUUAAUUUUAUCCAAGUAAUCAAUUCCACCCAUAAGGGCAACAUUUCCCCUCCCCACUGACUCAAAAUGUUGGGCAAGAGUAGGUGCUUCAGCAACAUCUCUCAAAAGAACAUUUUGUUGGCAGGAAACAUGGUACCAUUACUGAACAGUGCAAAAGUAGUGUGGAUAUGGGCCAGGCAAUGCAAGACUACAGUUGAGGCAAUUGCUGCACCUACGACUUACUAACAAUAAUCACAACCGGAGCUGCUACUAACGAUUAUCUUAAUUCGAUUUGUUGAUUAUGUUGUCGAUUCAGAUGUCAGAAAACAGUAAAAAAAUGUAAUUGCUUCUUUUGUAUGACCAACAGUCCAAAACCUUUAUAUAUUUAAUUUAAUGUCAUAGAAGACUAAGAAAAACUGGAGCCACUGAUUUCUUUUGCAGUUUUUGUUUUAAAAAAAUGACUUAAACAUCAAAUCAAUCAAAAUAGUUAAUUUUCUGUCUUUCAACUAAUUAAUAAAUUAGCUUCAUUGCAGCUGUAAUCCCAACAUUCAGCUGAUAAGAUCAUAACAACAAUGCUAGUUUCACAAUUAAAAGCCAUAUUUAUCAAGGCAGAAAAACAAUGACUGACUAUAAUUUACAUUUUUUAUGGAAAACAUCUUUAAUGGAUUUUUUUUAAAGUAAUGUCUUGUUAAGUGAGUACACAUAGAUACAAAUGUUCUAUCCUAGCUACAGUCAGGGUCAGAUAUUUUUU
Siniperca chuatsi (mandarin fish) is the source of this 1915-nucleotide long non-coding RNA. RefSeq lists it as uncharacterized. The transcript is spliced from 3 exons. Lineage: Eukaryota; Metazoa; Chordata; Actinopteri; Centrarchiformes; Sinipercidae. The record is from RefSeq and is a predicted model, not a curated record.